This is a long non-coding RNA of Bolinopsis microptera, 1127 nucleotides long. RefSeq lists it as uncharacterized. The record is from RefSeq and is a predicted model, not a curated record. The transcript is spliced from 6 exons. NCBI's taxonomy places the organism in Eukaryota, Metazoa, Ctenophora, Tentaculata, Lobata, Bolinopsidae.
GAAGCUGUCCUCAACAACAUGAUAUAGUUUCCUCUGUCUCACUGAGAAAUUUUUCUAGGUAAAUUACAUAGCCUUCCUUGCUAUAUGAUAUAAUUUAUCGUGAGUUGGUACUUUAUACAUGUAUAGGGUGUAGUGGUCCAAAAGUCAGUGGGUAUAUGUUGGCCUCAAUUGCUCCGCCGUGUUUUACAUUUGAGAACUGUAGCUUUGCAGAUGUAAUGCCAUAUAACUGUUUUUACCAUGGUAAAUGGUUCGACGAGAUUCCGUCGUCGAAAUUUAUGGUUUUGCAUAUUUGCACAGUGGAACUAUCAGGUUUAUUAAGUAUCAACGUCUUUAUCAACGCAGCUGCGCAUAAUUAUUCUACUUAGUUUAACUCUCUUUCUAUUUUAGCUGAAUUCCAUUCCCUCCCUCUUCGAGAUGAUUGCUUCCGUCAAUUGCGAAGGACUCGCUCAAGAUAGAGAGAUAAUAUUAAGACGAGCGGAUCGAUAAAUCGAAGAAUUAAUUCAUAAACUCGAUUGUGUUUCAUAUAGUUUCAUCUGCAAGAUGGUAGACUUCUUCACUUCUCAGUUCUCAAAGCUCGACGAUCUUCAUAUUAUAUUAUACUUAUAGGAUAAAGGUUGUUAUUUUAUUUUUUAAAUUAAGUACAUUCAUUUAACAAUUCACUUUAUUUGAUAGCUUCUUUUGAUUAACCCCUCCAAGCUCGAUAUUAUAUUUUAUCAUUAAUAUUAUCUGCCAUUUGUUCAAUUAGUUACAUUUCCAGGGUCAAAUUACAGAUAGUAAUUGAGAGCGGCUUUAGAAAUCAGGGAACGUGACCUAUACAUAGCAUAGAUUAUCUCUUAAUCAGCUGAAUUCUGUUCAACGAGUACAGUAGACACAAGACAACCUCAAGAAAGCUUCUAGACUACUCCGCUUACUGUCACAACACUAUUCAACCAACGAGUUUUCGAAGAUUAUCACCCUGGGACACUCUUCUGCUUCAUUCUCAAGGCACAACACCACAACUUCAGAAGAUGCAAGGAGCGUGUUCUUAACUCUCCAAAACGAAGGAGGGGAUCUGCAAUAAACAAAGACGAUAUAUUUUUGGCCAGAAAUUUGCGGAGUUCCUUCGUCUUGUAUUGAUAUCGGUCUUG